Molecule: long non-coding RNA, 1277 nt
Organism: Suricata suricatta (meerkat)
Lineage: Eukaryota; Metazoa; Chordata; Mammalia; Carnivora; Herpestidae
Exons: 4
Source: RefSeq, a predicted model, not a curated record
UCCGCCCCCCGCUUUAAUUCCUUCCUGCCUCCUCCCAGCCUCACGUCCUGCCGGCCUCCCCUCUCCCAGCCUGACCGAGUUGCUUAAUGGCCCAGUAGAAAUUCACCCCGCCGGCCCCUCCCUUCUUCCCUUCUCGACCCCGCCCCGUCACCUCUGCCAGCCCGCUCCCUCCGCAACCUUCCUCUACUACCUCCUCCGUGCUCCUCGGGGCUCUCACCCUCACUUGGGUCCCGCCCCCCUAGAGCCAGAGAGUGAGCUCCCUGCGGCCUGGAGACGCACAAAGCAGCGCCUUCCCAGCCCCUGGCUCCGCACACGGUUGAUCCACAGUGUGUUUGAUGGAGAGAUGGUUCAAAGGGCGACUGCGGGGCAGGCUGGACCCGGGGACUCUUCAGAUCUCUGCAAGGGGGUUGAAGACCCCAGAACCCAAAAGCCUGCCCUGAACCCACAGCCCCCGGGAUGGGGAAGGUUCUGGAAGCUGGAAGUCAGAUUUGAAGAUCCAAGGCGAACUGUGAUCCAAGGCAGAACCAUCAAGAGGAAAUAAUUAUCAACAACAGGUCCUUGAGGAAGAAAAGAUUAACAUUACUCGGUGAUCAGAAGUGGGAGCCACAGAAGAGCCGUCCCCCUCCCAACAACUCUGAGGCUGGUGAGCGAAAAGGGCACGGAACCCCAAAAGCUGACUGAGCUGCAGUACUUUCUUCCCAACCACGGAGGUUGAUAAAGGCGAGAUACCACCAUGGGGUAAAACCCUAAUAGCUUCCGUGAGAAACUAACCGCGGUGUGACAGAACACUCUCUUCAGUGCGUCCUCCCGGGAGCUGACGACCUUAAGCCUCACACCUUGCAACCUGGCGAUUUCACCUGUUGGAAAAGACCAGCCCCCAGGAAGGCUGUCUUCGACCUCGCUGGAAGGCCCUUCUCCGGUACCAUUCACCGCCUCCACGUGACGGGUCCAGCCCUGGCCGGGCCUGCGUACCAGCGGUGACUCCUAAGCAGAGACGUCCCAGAACCAAAGCAGAGGGCGUCUGACAAGACCGUUUCCCCGCGUUGUCCGAUGUCUGUGGAGCAGGCCUGGGUGCCUUUUCCUCACUGUCGCUUCUUUUCUUUUUUCAUGGGAACACAGCGCCCUUGUCUGCAUUUCUCAAGCCCUUGAGGAAAGGGGAGCGGGGGAGACACUCUGUUUUUGAAUAUGGACUUGCAGAAAUUAUUUCAUGAUGACAGAUUAAUGUUUCACUUAUUUUUUCUUCUCUUAUAUUUUAUUUUUUAAAGUUAUUUAUUUUU